This 3519-nucleotide long non-coding RNA is filed under the name Sus scrofa (pig). Its description in RNAcentral is "lncRNA (ENSSSCG00015027691.1)". Lineage: Eukaryota; Metazoa; Chordata; Mammalia; Artiodactyla; Suidae. The record is from RNAcentral.
CAGAAUGAGGGACACUGACCAGCUCUAACCCAUCUCUAGGCACUAGGUCAUCUUGUCUCAAAAGACCUGUAUAAAAGUAGGCUGUUUCAUGCAAGGAAACUGCAGUUAGGAAAAUUACAUAUGUGCUUUAGACCACUCACAGGUAAAGGGUGGUGCCUGGUCAGGAGCUCUGGUUUUGCUCUUAACCCUUACACAGCCCUGCUUCCUUCAGAAAAAGUGUGGGGUGGAGUUCCCGUCGUGGCUCUGUGGUUAAUGAGCCCGACUAGUAUCCAUGAGGAUGUGGGUUCCAUUCCUGGCCUCGAUCAGUGGGUUAAGGAUCUGGCGUUGCCAUGAGCUGUGGUAUAGGUCGCAGAUGCAAUUUGGAUCCCAUGUUGCUGAGGAAACACUGUCGAAUUUUUUUGUGUACUUUCUAUCUCAUUUCUUUGCAUACAUGUGUGUAUGUGUAUAAAUCAAAUUGGUAUUUUUAUUACUUAGCCACUUUUCUUUUGAUGGACACUAGAGAGGUUGCACGCCCUGGACCAAUGCAGAAUACAAAGCAUUUUUGUUAAUUAGCUAUCUAUGCCAUAUUGGGCUUUUCAUUCCUUUUUGUAUCACAAGAUCGUUUCUCUUGCUGAUUCAUCUCCUGCCAUAUCUUUUACAUUCUCUCUAUGUCCAUUGCCACUUCUCUGUACAACUCUUGUUACCUUUCUUCCCUUCCUUUCCUCCAAAACUGUCCUCAUAAAGGUUGCUGAAGUUCUGGUUAUUAAUAAUCCAGUGAUGCCCAGUUUAUCUAUUUGUUGCACUUGUUCCUGUGCUUCUAUUAUUUUGGUACUAAGAAACCAUCAAGGAUACAAAGAGUCAUGGCCUAUGUUCUCUUCUGAGAGUUUUAUAGUUUUAGUUCUUACAUUUAGCUGUUACAAAAAGGCAUUUAUUAAGGGGGUAUUUUACAGAAUUAGGAGGGUUUGAAGAAAUGGACUCUAGCUUUGGCUUCCAGGAACAACCCUCUCGAUCACAUUAUAGAACUGGGUUGCCAGAGAGAUGUGGUCUUGACCUUGACCACGAAGCUGGUACGCCCCUCUAGCUCCAGAACCACCCUAUCCUGCCAUGGUCUCCACCAGCAAAAUGAUUGCCUUGUGUCCCAUCCAUCUUCCACAUUCAACUCAGAGCCUCAGUCUCUUCAUUUAUAAACUGUGAGGGGCAUCUACCUCCAGGGUGUAUCUAGCACAUUUCACAAUUCGUGGGGCCUAAGCACAUGCCAGUGAUAUGGAUGUAGAUUGUAAAUGACUCGUUAGGACUUACCGGUGCCAACCAGCUGAAUAUUAACAGUCUUGACAGUAUUACAAGAAUUAAAUGAGCUUGGUACUGUAAUGCCAAGUGACAAGGGUUAUUUGAUGGUCCUGGGUACCUAUGGCAUGCCUGGUCUGACUGAGAUUACUCAGGGUAGCAGUGGUCAGACAGGUGAAAAUCCUAGAAACACCCCCCAAGACCUUAAAAGAGAGAGAAUGCUCUCACAGAUACAGACAAGAAUCUAAGCACUUGGACUCCUGCCUCUGAGCUCUCGACCUGAGCAUAACCUGGGCACACAGGAAAGAGAGCUGGGUGGUGUUUGGUCAGUCAAGGGGGAGACUGCUCCAGUUCUCAACUGUUAUUCUAGCAAAACAGGUGGAUGGAUUUGAGCCCAAGAGGUAAGAAGUGAGCAAAAUAACCAGGAUCGUUAGGCUUUGGGGUAUGCUUUGCAUGAGAAUGAUGGACACUAAACCUGUCGGAAGGAAAGGCAUGUACAGGAGUAAACAUGCCAGAGACUGGAGUCCAGAACCUUGAAAGUUUAAUGAGGACAGUUAGUGAAGCAGUACCCUGUGAUGAAUCACAUCAAAAGCACUGCUUAAAUCAAGUGGGAUCAUGGUGGACAAUACCAUUUAAUUUAACUGCUUAAAGGUCAUUUGAAACUCUUAAUAGUGCACUGGCAGGAGGACUUGGCUUCUAAAUCCAGGCAGAUAAAGGUGCAUUAGGUCUCCAGAGUGGAGGACUUAAGAUCUGAGCCAGCCCGGCAGAGCUGGUGCACCUGAAUAGAUGAGAAGAAGCAAGAGGAGACAGAUGAAAGUGAAACGGAGUCACUGCGGGUUUUUUACUUCUUUUAAUUUUUUAGAGAUCUCCUCACUGGAGGGCCUAAAAAGUGAUGUUAAGAAAGUAAUAAAUGAGUACAAGGUUAUUACAGGGAAUAUUGCUGUCAUGUUUUGUGAGCAAAUGAACAUGUUAUAUAAGUAGUUAUAAUGGCGGUACACAAGGUAGAGUUUCAUAUUUUCAGAAAAUAAAGAUUACAACUGAAUGUAUCUGGUGCAUAUUUAAUGAAGAGCAUAAUCAAGGGAUAUUGGAGCUGUAAAGGAACCGGCCAGUUGUCAGGUUCAGCCUCCUCAUUUGUGCAAAUGAGGAAAACAAAUUUGGAGAUGACUCUGGUAUCCUGAGUUUACACAGUCACCAGGGAUGGAUCCAGGAUUAGCACUCAGGCCUCUCAUGCUGUACUGGCCCAUCUACUUCAUUGUUACUGGGCUGCAGGAGCCUUAGCUAUAAACAGACACUUCAGGUUUUUGCGCUGUAACUAAACAGACUCUGGGGAGGCAGCUGGGAGAGGGAGAAUCAGAUUGAGCCAGAGUUGCUCAGGAGAUCCUGAAAAGCUAUGAAUUUGGAACCCAAAGGACAGAGCCUCCCUCUCCUCAGGGAAAGGGUGUCUAGGGUUUGGGCAUUUGCCUGCUCAUCCUUUGCGCUCACCUGCCUGCCCAGCUACUACACCUGUCAGGUGGCUGCUGGACUUGGACCAUGAGUCAAGAGAAGGAGUACUCCCAAAUUAGUCCCUUUCUGCUGGUGACGAUCUUUAAUCUCACCAUUGAAAUACACAGCUCCCUUUUCUCAUUUUUCUUUUGAAUGGAUUGGCUUUCCUUGUCUGUUUGCUUUCUUGUUUUCUUAUUCCAUUUCCCCUUUUUACUGAUUGGGAAGUUACAGCCUCUAUUUUUAAAUUUUUAGUGUUUGUCCUUGAAACAUUAAUAUGCAUACUUAUCACAGUAUUAUUGAGCAUUUUAAUCUUUUUUAAACCCUAAAAAUUAGCAGUUGUUAUUAUUUUAUGUAGUUAGUUUUUAUAUUUACUCCCAUGUUUACCACUUUCUUUAUUCAUAGUCCUUUCUCAGCCCUGUCUUUUCUUCUCAAGUAUAUCCUCCCUUUAGGUACAGGUCCUUUCGAUGGCAAAUUCCCUUUGUUUGGUUGCUGCACUUGUGUUCUUGUAAAGCUACAUAAUUCUUUGUUGACAGUUAUUUUCUCUCACCAGAGAUUUUGCCACCCUUUCGUGGCUUCCUGUGUAAGCUGUGGGCAAGUUGGGUAUCGGUCUCAUUGUCAUUACUGGUAACAAAGAUGUGUUUUUUCUCUUGAGUAUUUUUGGGACCAUCUUUGUCUUUCUUAUUUCAUGGUUUUACUACAGCAGGUCUAGGUGGGGAUUUUUUUUUUCCUUUUCCUUUAUCUGUGUGCUUCUUACCUGUGUAUUAAAGUCUCAUG